This 465-nucleotide ribosomal RNA is filed under the name uncultured bacterium. Its description in RNAcentral is "bacterial SSU rRNA". It matches the Rfam family "Bacterial small subunit ribosomal RNA", at positions 338 to 795 of the family's 1533-position model. The record is from RNAcentral.
CCUACGGGAUGCACCAGUGGGGAAUAUCGCACAAUGGGCGCAAGCCUGAUGCAGCCACGCCGCGUGUAUGAAGAAGGCCUUAGGGUUGUAAAGUACUUUCAGUUGGGAGGAAGGCGUUGAUGCUAAUAUCAUCAGCGAUUGUCGUUACCAACAGAAGAAGCACCGGCUAACUCCGUGCCAGCAGCCGCGGUAAUACGGAGGGUGCAAGCGUUAAUCGGAAUUACUGGGCGUAAAGCGCACGCAGGCGGUUGAUUAAGUCAGAUGUGAAAUCCCCGGGCUUAACCUGGGAAUGGCAUCUAAGACUGGUCAGCUAGAGUCUUGUAGAGGGGGGUAGAAUUCCAUGUGUAGCGGUGAAAUGCGUAGAGAUGUGGAGGAAUACCGGUGGCGAAGGCAGCCCCCUGGACAAAGACUGACGCUCAGGUGCGAAAGCGUGGGGAGCAAACAGGAUUAGAUACCCCGGUAGUC